This 858-nucleotide long non-coding RNA is filed under the name Rattus norvegicus (Norway rat). RNAcentral describes it as "long non-coding RNA NONRATT010647". Lineage: Eukaryota; Metazoa; Chordata; Mammalia; Rodentia; Muridae. The record is from RNAcentral.
UGGCUUCGCGCGCUCAGGUUCCCACCAGGCCUUCCUUGCUCAGUUAACUAUUUCUGGAAACAUGUUCCCAGAUACACCCGAACAUCCAUGGUGAUUCUAAGUCUAAUAAGGUCCCUAAUUUCAGAACAAAAGUCUGGAUGGGAAGACAAACUCAAUUAACGAACUGAUGACAUUUUUUCAGUAAUAGAGAUGUUGAAGGCAAGGUUUUUAACAACUCUCUGUCUGUGUGUGUGAUGAUGGCAGGCCAAACAAGAAGUCGCCUAAUUGUAUAGAGGACAAGGCAGGAAUUCCCAGGGAUCACCUCUCAGGAAUGAUAUCCAAACUGGAAAGAUUUCUUCAUACAAUCUUUACUGGGUACUGUCAAUCAUAGCCAGAGACUCAAAGAAAAUAAACAUGUUGAUCAGUGAAAAUCCUAGAAGACACUAAACACAAGCAUUGCUGUUCUUUAGAGGGGAGGUGGUGAUAGAUCUAGGAACAAAGUUAGGAAAGAGCGUGAUAAAAUUAUAAACUGCUUAACCACACAGGCUAACAGUCAUGGAAAAACCCAUGUCAUGUUAAUAGCAACACUGGCAUGUUAUGUGAACAUAACAUUGCUGGUACCACUUAAAUUCUCAGUUCUUCCAGAGUGUGCAAGGGCUUCCUCUCCAAGCCACAAGUCUGAAAUUCAUGAGAUUUUGUAUUGGACACUGCUUGACAAGGGCACAGUAGCGUUUUCUUUUCCAGUAGAAGAAUUUCAUCUUCUAAAUCUAUUAUAACUGGACAAUGAAACUUGCUGAGCUGGCUAGAGUAUGAACACAUGUAACUGCUUACAUUCCUAUGUGGGUGUGAAAAGUUGGAGGAGAAAAUUACUUUCACCAC